AUAGAGACUCAGAGCUGCAUAUCAAUAAGCGGAGGAAAAGAAACUAACAAGGAUUCCCUUAGUAACGGCGAGUGAAGCGGGAAGAGCUCGAAUUUGAAAUCUUCAAGGUUUUACCUUGACGAAUUGUAGUUUAUAGAAGUGUUUUCUGUUAGUAGGAGUGGUAAAAGUUCUUUGGAAUAGGACAUCAUAGAGGGUGAGAAUCCCGUAUUUGACCAUUCUUUCUAGCUUUGUGAUACACUUUCGAAGAGUCGGAUUGUUUGGGAAUGCAGUCCAAAAUGGGUGGUAAAUUUCAUCUAAAGCUAAAUAUUGGCGAGAGACCGAUAGCGAACAAGUACCGUGAGGGAAAGAUGAAAAGAACUUUGAAAAGAGAGUUAAAUAGUACGUGAAAUUGUCAAAAGGGAAGCGUUUGACACCAGUGUUGUUUUCUCGAAAAUCAAUUAAGAAUGACCGAUUUUGUUUUAAGUAUUGACUUUAUCAGCUUUCUGCACUUUUUUCUUGUAACUUUUUAAUGCACUUUUCGGUUAACAAGUCAACAUCAAUUUCUUUUGUUGUAAAAGAGCCAUUGGAAGGUGGCUUUUACUUCGGUAAAAGUGUUUAUAGCCUUUUGCUUCUGCAGUCGGAGAGAUUGAGGUCUGCAGCGUAGAUCCUUCGGGGUUAGAUACAUUUGUGCUAAGCUAUAGUUCUUUAUAGACAACUUGUUGACUAUGAUCAGUCCUGUAGCUUACUCGCUUAUGCUAUUUUACCUACGCUUAGGAUGUUGACGAGACUGUCGAUCUC
This 777-nucleotide ribosomal RNA is filed under the name uncultured Neocallimastigales. RNAcentral's name for it is "partial large subunit ribosomal RNA". It matches the Rfam family "Eukaryotic large subunit ribosomal RNA", at positions 23 to 645 of the family's 3401-position model. Lineage: Eukaryota; Fungi; Neocallimastigomycota; Neocallimastigomycetes; Neocallimastigales. The record is from RNAcentral.